Molecule: non-coding RNA, 667 nt
Organism: Pelobates cultripes (western spadefoot toad)
Lineage: Eukaryota; Metazoa; Chordata; Amphibia; Anura; Pelobatidae
Source: the annotation of a GenBank genome assembly
AUACAAAAGGCUAUUACAAUUGCUAACUGUUACAAUACAAACAUAUUACUUACAAGGCCCCAGCCAAAUGGCUGGGGCUAAGUCAGAGCUGGUACUACAUGAUCAGUCAGGUACAGGCAAACAGAGAGCUAGCUUCUCCUCACAUCUGGGUUUUUAUUCAGUGUAAGUAGGCUGGCCUGUGAUGUCACUGCCAGAAGCACAGGUCUUCCUACACACUCCCCCUAAUGGUGCCCCCAAAGCAUUACACUAAAUAUGCUUUACUGACAUCUAGUGGUGCGUCUAAAGCAUUAAGCUCAUUAUGCUUUUUUUUAUGACAAAAAGUAAUUAAUUAAUAAAUACCAUUACAGUAUGUUAAUCUAUUAAUGAUAUUUGCAAGCAUUUAGUUUAAUCUUAUAAACUCUGCUAUAAAUUAUUGCAAUGGAUUUUAUAUGUCUAUAUUUAUAUUUUUAUAUAAUAAAUAUCUAAAAGACAAAACUUUAUUGCGUCCAAGACAAUCCUUAAUUUUAUAUUAUAUUCUCAAUUAUUUAUAUGUUAAAUAGAGGAUCUCUUCCUAACUAUAUAAAAUUAUGGCAAAGAUAUCUGUAUGGUUAGCCCUGCUAAGUUCUAUGCUUUAAGACAGGGGUCCUCAAACUCCGGCCCCCCAGAUGUUGCUGAACUACAACUCCCA